RNAcentral lists this ribosomal RNA (451 nucleotides) under soil bacterium 11V-11. RNAcentral describes it as "bacterial SSU rRNA". It matches the Rfam family "Bacterial small subunit ribosomal RNA", at positions 24 to 488 of the family's 1533-position model. The record is from RNAcentral.
UCAGGAUGAACGCUGGCGGCGUGCUUAACACNUGCAAGUCGAACGAUGAUGCCCNCUUGUGGGUGGAUUAGUGGCGAACGGGUGAGUAACACGUGAGUAACCUGCCCUUAACUUUGGGAUAAGCCUGGGAAACUGGGUUUAAUACCGGAUAUGACUCCUCAUNGCAUGGUGGGGGGUGGAAAGCUUUAUUGUGGUUUUGGAUGGACUCGCGGCCUAUCAGCUUGUUGGUGAGGUAAUGGCUCACCAAGGCGACGACGGGUAGCCGGCCUGAGAGGGUGACCGGCCACACUGGGACUGAGACACGGCCCAGACUCCUACGGGAGGCAGCAGUGGGGAAUAUUGCACAAUGGGCGAAAGCCUGAUGCAGCGACGCCGCGUGAGGGAUGACGGCCUUCGGGUUGUAAACCUCUUUCAGUAGGGAAGAAGCGAAAGUGACGGUACCUGCAGAGAG